Molecule: ribosomal RNA, 255 nt
Filed under: uncultured bacterium
Lineage: Bacteria
Description: partial 16S ribosomal RNA
Rfam family: Bacterial small subunit ribosomal RNA
Source: RNAcentral
UACGUAGGGUGCAAGCGUUGUCCGGAAUUAUUGGGCGUAAAGAGCUCGUAGGCGGUCUGUCGCGUCUGCUGUGAAAACUCAGGGCUUAACCCUGAGCUUGCAGUGGGUACGGGCAGACUAGAGUGCGGUAGGGGAGACUGGAAUUCCUGGUGUAGCGGUGAAAUGCGCAGAUAUCAGGAGGAACACCGGUGGCGAAGGCGGGUCUCUGGGCCGUAACUGACGCUGGAGGAGCGAAAGCAUCGGGGAGCGAACAGG